Molecule: transfer RNA, 87 nt
Filed under: Chloroflexota bacterium
Lineage: Bacteria; Bacillati; Chloroflexota
Also listed under: 2 other names
Description: tRNA-Ser
Rfam family: tRNA
About the family: Transfer RNA (tRNA) molecules are approximately 80 nucleotides in length. Their secondary structure includes four short double-helical elements and three loops (D, anti-codon, and T loops).
Source: RNAcentral
GGAGAGGUGCUAGAGUGGUCGAAUAGGCGCGCUUGGAAAGCGCGUGAACUGGCAACAGUUCCAUGGGUUCGAAUCCCAUCCUCUCCG